RNAcentral lists this ribosomal RNA (497 nucleotides) under uncultured bacterium. RNAcentral describes it as "partial 16S ribosomal RNA". It matches the Rfam family "Bacterial small subunit ribosomal RNA", at positions 28 to 507 of the family's 1533-position model. The record is from RNAcentral.
GAUGAACGCUGGCGGCGUGCCUAAUACAUGCAAGUCGAGCGAACAGACGAGGAGCUUGCUCCCUUGACGUUAGCGGCGGACGGGGGAGUAACACGUGGAUACAAUACCUCUAAGACUGGGAUAAAUUCGGGAAAACGGAGCUAAUACCGGACAAUAUAUUUAACCGCAUGGUUCAAUAGAGAAAGACGGUUUUGCUGUCACGUAAAGAUGGACCCGGGCAGCAUUAGCAAGUUGGUAAGGUAACGGCUUACGAAGGCAACGAUGGUUAGCCGACCGGGGAGAGUGACCGGCCACACUGGAACGGAGACACGGCCCAGCCCCCUACGGGAGGAAGCGGUAGGGAAUCUUCCGCAAUGGGCGAAAGCUGGACGGAGCAACGCCGCGUGAUUGAUGAAGGUCUUCGGAUCGUAAAACUCUGUUAUUAGGGAAGAACAAAUGUGUAAGUAACUAUGCACGUCUUGACGGUACCUAAUCAGAAAGCCACGGCUAACUACGUG